Molecule: ribosomal RNA, 460 nt
Filed under: uncultured bacterium
Lineage: Bacteria
Description: partial 16S ribosomal RNA
Rfam family: Bacterial small subunit ribosomal RNA
Source: RNAcentral
CCUACGGGUGGCAGCAGUGAGGAAUAUUGGUCAAUGGACGCAAGUCUGAACCAGCCAUGCCGCGUGAAGGAAGACUGCUCUAUGAGUUGUAAACUGCUUUUGUAAAGGGUUAAACCCAGAUACGCGUAUCUUUCUGCAAGUAUCGUACGAAUAAGGAUCGGCUAACUCCGUGCCAGCAGCCGCGGUAAUACGGAGGAUUCGAGCGUUAUCCGGAUUUAUUGGGUUUAAAGGGUGCGUAGGCGGGCGGAUAAGUUAGAUGUGAAAGCCUGAGGCUCAACCGUAGAAUUGCAUUUGAUACUGGCCGUCUAGAGUGUAGUUGCGGUAGGCGGAAUGCAUGGUGUAGCGGUGAAAUGCUUAGAGAUCAUACAGAACACCGAUUGCGAAGGCAGCUUACCAAGCUAUUUCUGACAUUGAGGCACGAAAGUGUGGGGAGCAAACAGGAUUAGAUACCCCUGUAGUC